GGCAUAGCCAAAAAUGAGCAUGCCUGAUCUCAGAAGCGAAGUAGCACUGGUGAUGGUUAGUACUUGGAUGGGAGAUCACAUUGAAAUACCCGAUGCUGUAGUCU
RNAcentral lists this ribosomal RNA (104 nucleotides) under Notamacropus eugenii (tammar wallaby). Lineage: Eukaryota; Metazoa; Chordata; Mammalia; Diprotodontia; Macropodidae. The record is from RNAcentral.